RNAcentral lists this transfer RNA (64 nucleotides) under Nerthra indica. Its description in RNAcentral is "tRNA-His". Lineage: Eukaryota; Metazoa; Arthropoda; Insecta; Hemiptera; Gelastocoridae. The record is from RNAcentral.
AUUCAGAUAGUUUAAUUAGAAUAGAAAUUUGUGGUAUUUCAGGUAUAAGUUGUUAUUUUGAAUU